AUUGAACGCUGGCGGAAUGCUUUACACAUGCAAGUCGAACGGCAGCACGGACUUCGGUCUGGUGGCGAGUGGCGAACGGGUGAGUAAUGUAUCGGAACGUGCCCAGUCGUGGGGGAUAACGUAGUGAAAAUUACGCUAAUACCGCAUACGAUCUAUGGAUGAAAGCGGGGGAUCGCAAGACCUCGCGCGAUUGGAGCGGCCGAUAUCAGAUUAGGUAGUUGGUGGGGUAAAGGCCCACCAAGCCAACGAUCUGUAGCUGGUCUGAGAGGACGACCAGCCACACGGGAACUGAGACACGGUCCAGACUCCUACGGGAGGCAGCAGUGGGGAAUUUUGGACAAUGGGCGAAAGCCUGAUCCAGCCAUUCCGCGUGCAGGAUGAAGGCCCUCGGGUUGUAAACUACUUUUGUACAGGACGAAAAGGUUUCUACUAAUACUAGGAGCUCAUGACGGUACUGUAAGAAUAAGCACCGGCUAACUACGUGCCAGCCGCCGCGGUAA
This 500-nucleotide ribosomal RNA is filed under the name uncultured bacterium. RNAcentral's name for it is "partial 16S ribosomal RNA". It matches the Rfam family "Bacterial small subunit ribosomal RNA", at positions 30 to 523 of the family's 1533-position model. The record is from RNAcentral.